AAAUGCCAGUCAUUGACGGAAU
Molecule: microRNA, 22 nt
Filed under: Caenorhabditis briggsae
Lineage: Eukaryota; Metazoa; Nematoda; Chromadorea; Rhabditida; Rhabditidae
Description: Cbr-Mir-357-P1_3p (mature (guide))
Source: RNAcentral